Molecule: unclassified non-coding RNA, 169 nt
Filed under: uncultured Sebacina
Lineage: Eukaryota; Fungi; Basidiomycota; Agaricomycetes; Sebacinales; Sebacinaceae
Description: sequence contains ITS1
Source: RNAcentral
UUGAUUGCGAAUCGUUACCUUCCGUGCUGGCCGGCUUCGGCAAGUGCACGUCGGUGACUUUCAUCCAAUACCCUGUGCACCUUUGGCCUCUUGCUAGCUUCGGCCGGCAGAGGAUUUUACAUAAACUCGAAUGUAAUGAAAUUUACUGUCGUGCGCAAGCACUAAUGUA